UACGAAGGGUGCUAGCGUUGCUCGGAAUCACUGGGCGUAAAGGGUGCGUAGGCGGGUUUUUAAGUCAGGGGUGAAAUCCUGGAGCUCAACUCCAGAACUGCCUUUGAUACUGAAGAUCUCGAGUUCGGGAGAGGUGAGUGGAACUGCGAGUGUAGAGGUGAAAUUCGUAGAUAUUCGCAAGAACACCAGUGGCGAAGGCGGCUCACUGGCCCGGUACUGACGCUGAGGCACGAAAGCGUGGGGAGCAAACAGG
Molecule: ribosomal RNA, 253 nt
Filed under: uncultured bacterium
Lineage: Bacteria
Description: partial 16S ribosomal RNA
Rfam family: Bacterial small subunit ribosomal RNA
Source: RNAcentral